GCCCCUGUGGUGUAGUCCGGCCAAUCAUGCAGCCCUUUCGAGGCUGCGACCCGGGUUCGAAUCCCGGCGGGGGCA
RNAcentral lists this transfer RNA (75 nucleotides) under archaeon. RNAcentral's name for it is "tRNA-Glu". It matches the Rfam family "tRNA". From Rfam's summary of the family: Transfer RNA (tRNA) molecules are approximately 80 nucleotides in length. The record is from RNAcentral.